This is a long non-coding RNA of Balaenoptera ricei (Rice's whale), 422 nucleotides long. RefSeq lists it as uncharacterized. NCBI's taxonomy places the organism in Eukaryota, Metazoa, Chordata, Mammalia, Artiodactyla, Balaenopteridae. The transcript has 4 exons. The record is from RefSeq and is a predicted model, not a curated record.
AAUAAGAAGAUGUGUGUAAAACACAUAUCCCAGCCCUGCGUAAAUAAACAUGAGCCUGGCACUGCUCCCCUUUUCAAGUUGUGGGAAAAUCAACACAAAAUUGGCGAGCACGGUUUUCGCUUCCAUCAUUCAACUGGUUGAGGAUGUUGGAUUUUUAAUUCACAACCAGAGCAACACCCCUUUAUAAGGGCCAAAUUGUGCAGACCCCCUCAUCCAAGCCCUCCUUCCCGGGCCUCAGGAGAAGCUUUGUUGGAAAUGGCGGCUGCCUGACACAAGGCUAUGUGAAAACACGGCAAGAAGGUGGCCGUCUACAAGCCAGGUAAAGAGGUCUCACCAGAAACAAAUCCUGACAACACCUUGGUCUUGGCUUCCUAGCCUCCAGAACUAACUUCUCCUGUGCCUGCUGUUUCUUAAAAAUAACC